GCUGGCGGCGUGCCUAAUACAUGCAAGUCGAGCGAAUCUUUGGGAGCUUGCUCCCAUCGGUUAGCGGCGGACGGGUGAGUAACACGUGGGCAACCUGCCUGUAAGACUGGGAUAACUUCGGGAAACCGGAGCUAAUACCGGAUAAUCCUUUCCCUCUCAUGAGGGAAAGCUGAAAGACGGUUUCGGCUGUCACUUACAGAUGGGCCCGCGGCGCAUUAGCUAGUUGGUGAGGUAACGGCUCACCAAGGCGACGAUGCGUAGCCGACCUGAGAGGGUGAUCGGCCACACUGGGACUGAGACACGGCCCAGACUCCUACGGGAGGCAGCAGUAGGGAAUCUUCCGCAAUGGACGAAAGUCUGACGGAGCAACGCCGCGUGAGCGAUGAAGGCCUUCGGGUCGUAAAGCUCUGUUGUUAGGGAAGAACAAGUACCGGAGUAACUGCCGGUACCUUGACGGUACCUAACCAGAAAGCCACGGCUAACUACGUGCCAGCAGCCGCGGUAAUAC
RNAcentral lists this ribosomal RNA (508 nucleotides) under uncultured soil bacterium. Its description in RNAcentral is "bacterial SSU rRNA". It matches the Rfam family "Bacterial small subunit ribosomal RNA", at positions 35 to 526 of the family's 1533-position model. The record is from RNAcentral.